RNAcentral lists this ribosomal RNA (656 nucleotides) under uncultured Burkholderiales bacterium. RNAcentral's name for it is "bacterial SSU rRNA". It matches the Rfam family "Bacterial small subunit ribosomal RNA", at positions 61 to 710 of the family's 1533-position model. The record is from RNAcentral. Lineage: Bacteria; Pseudomonadati; Pseudomonadota; Betaproteobacteria; Burkholderiales.
GUCGGACGGUAGCAGGUCCUUCGGGAUGCUGACGAGUGGCGAACGGGUGAGUAAUGUAUCGGAACGUGUCUGGUAGUGGGGGAUAACACAUCGAAAGAUGUGCUAAUACCGCAUACGACCUUAGGGUGAAAGCAGGGGACCUUUCGGGGCCUUGCGCUAUUGGGGUGGCCGAUAUCGGAUUAGCUUGUUGGUGGGGUAAAGGCCUACCAAGGCGAUGAUCCGUAGCUGGUUUGAGAGGACGACCAGCCACACUGGGACUGAGACACGGCCCAGACUCCUACGGGAGGCAGCAGUGGGGAAUUUUGGACAAUGGGGGCAACCCUGAUCCAGCCAUUUCGCGUGUGUGAUGAAGGCCUUCGGGUUGUAAAGCACUUUUGGCGGGGAAGAAACGGCGGGCUCUAAUACAGCUUGCUAAUGACGGUACCCGCAGAAUAAGCACCGGCUAACUACGUGCCAGCAGCCGCGGUAAUACGUAGGGUGCAAGCGUUAAUCGGAAUUACUGGGCGUAAAGGGUGCGCAGGCGGUUUGGCAAGAGAGAUGUGAAAUCCCGGGGCUUAACCUCGGAACUGCAUUUUUAACUGCCAGACUAGAGUGUGUCAGAGGGGGGUGGAAUUCCGCGUGUAGCAGUGAAAUGCGUAGAGAUGCGGAGGAACACC